Molecule: small RNA, 157 nt
Filed under: Clostridiales bacterium CHKCI001
Lineage: Bacteria; Bacillati; Bacillota; Clostridia; Eubacteriales
Description: Clostridiales-1 RNA
Rfam family: Clostridiales-1 RNA
Source: Rfam by way of RNAcentral
CAAAAAUGUCGUCAAUGGCCAGACAGCUAGGGGAUUCAUACCCUAUGCUGGCUGGACAUUCGACGACCUGACCUGUAUGAGCAAGUAAGGCAUUCGCCUGGAUUGCGAAUACAGGCAGCAAUGUCGAAAGUGCACAGCACGAAGACAUCGACUUUUA